CACUUCCAGCUUCUCAGGAAGGUUCCCAUCACUUGGGGCACUCUCAGCUCUUGAUGGAAGUUGAUUUUCCUCUGAGCCAGUUUUCUGGGAAAACCUUUUUAAAGGCAGCUUCCCCUCCACUGGAGAGUGCCUGGGAGAGCAGCAGCAGGGGGAAGCUGUGCCUGGGAGCAGUUUGCACUCAGGGCUUGCAGUUAGGUAAUAUAAAUAGAUGUCAUGGUGGUUUUUUACAGCUUUUGGUGUUUGAAAAACACAGGGAAGCUGCUGGGGUGGAGGGGAAACAGCUGUCAGUUAUGUUAAUGUGCUAAAAAACAAGGAGCUGGACACAACUGAGAAAAAAAAUAAUAUAUAUAUUUGAGAAUCUCAAAGCUCCCCAAGAGCCAUUUGUGAUUUUGUAACAUGAGGGAAGCAGGUUGGAUUUACCAGGAGGAGGGGGAAGAGCAAAUAGGAGAGAUUUUGUGGGAUCCAGACCUUGGUGGGGAAGAAUUGAGCCCUUUUUUGUUGGGGUGAGUGAACUCUCUGCCUCCUGUUGGAUGGGUUGUGUGCAAUUCCUCAUUUUCAGGAUCUUUCCUGCCUUUGAGGUUCUGUUGUGGGAAUUGGGCAGAGCCCUUGUAGCCAAAAUGUUCCCUGGGCAAGAGCUGCCUGCAACAUUAAUCAAUUCAGAAAUGGAGGGUAAUCAAUGCAGCUGCUAAAGGGUAAUAAAAGAAAGAAUUUAAUGUUUUUCCUUCAAAAAAAGGCAAGAAUACAGGGAAAAUCAGUGACAGCCUUAGCAAUGUUUGUGGGAGGAUGUGAGACCAAGAUUUGAAGCUUUGUGCUUUCAAAAAGGGAAUAGAUGGAUGUGUGAAAUGUCACUUUCUGAUCCUUGAGAGAGAGGGGACCCAGGGACAAAAGGUGCUGGGAAAAGGGGGUUUGGAAGACAAGAUAGAGGAAAGGAGAGCAGGGGCUCACUCCAGAGAAAUGUGUAGGAUUUGCCAAAUAAAAUGUGAAUAUAAGGAAGCUAUGUAGCAUUUUAAAUAAGGAAUGUGACCCCAGUGGAAAUGAGACCAGAGAGGCAGAGAAGAGGAAAGGCUGGAUUAGGUUUGAGGGUGUUUGCUGCACUGGAGGACAAGGAGCAAAGGAUAGAGGUAAGGAAAUGGAGUAAAUGAGAGUCAGCUCAGAAAAAAAGGGCAGAAUCAAGAAGACAAAGAUGUUUUUCUGCUGGUUCUGUUUGUUAUCUUGAUAGGUAAGGGAUUGGGGAACUGGGAAACAAUGCCAAAAAUAAUAAAAGGGAGAAAAGGUGGAGUUUGCCAGGUAAUUGAGACAUGUGACUCUUGUCCCCUGGUAAGGAAAUGGAGGAAUUUCAGCUGUGUCACCAGCUGGGUUCACAGAAGAGAAGGGCAGGGCUGGAGGCUGAGGGACAGCAGAGUUGGUGUGGAUGUGCAGCAGGAAGGUCACUGGUGGGAAUAAAAACAGAUUUCUCUCCUGACACAUCCAACUCCCCAUGGAACUGAUCAGGAUAAAUCAUAAAGCUGAGGAACUGAAGAAAGGGAAGAUUUAUCCCUGUGAAAUGAAUGCUUCCCAUAUUUUGUCAGCACCGUGGAGCAGCAGAGCUGAUGAAUUUACCUGCAUGAGUACCUCAGACCAUUUUAAGAACUUUGUGAAAUUAGCAGGUUAUGUUUGGAUUGACAUCUGACAGCCAGGACAGCAGAACGAACAAACACUUCAGAUUUGCCUAUCACCGAUGAACCUCUCCCCACCCCGGCAAAAACCACCUGCAGAAUUGUGACUCUCUGAUGUUUUUACAAAGCAUGAGGUGCACUUGCACCUGAAACACCACAGACACACCUGCAGAGAGAAUGGGGAGCCCUUGGCAGGUGGGAAGAGGAGCCCCAAGCGCGUGGAGCGGAGGCGUAAAUCCCGCGUGGAGCAGAGGUGUAAAUCCCGCGGGUUUCCUCAGCAGUGGGGCUGAUUGCAAAGGCAGAUGUUGUCCUUCUUCUGCAGGAGCUCAGAUCCACCUCCAGCCUCCCAGAUUGUUUGUGCCUUCAGAUGGAAUUAGAGCUUCCUGCCAUUGUGUGUGGCGUAUGUCCCCUCGUCCCCGACUGACGCAUGUUGGACAUUCUGCCCGCGGCGCUGGCGAGAUGAGGCCGUUGCUAAAACUGAAAAAUGGCCAAAAUCCAAAGAUUUUUAUCAUCCCAUCCAUGCCUUGCAGUGGUGCACGAGGGAGUUUUCCCUGUCACGGGCACACUUUCCUCAGCCUUUCCUUUGAUUUCACACAGGCAAGAGACAUCAGUGGCACUUUGUUAUGUCUGACACUGACUUGUCAAUUGUCUUUAAAAUAAUUGUUUUUAAAAGGCAUGAAACAUGUUUUUGCAAAAGGGAUAAAAUGCAUUUUUCAAAAUGGGAAUCGUGAUUCCGUGGCUGUGACAUUUUUCUUAAUUAUUUUAAAUGCUUUUAGGGCUGUAAACCUUGAAAUUAUAUGUUACAUUCAAAGAAAUCCUAUGAAAAGAUAAUUACCUAAAGUUUGGGAAUGGUGAUUCCAUGACUGUGACUUUCUUUCAGUUAUUUUAAAUACUUUUAGGGCUGUUAACCUCGAAAUUAUAUGUUACAUUCUGAUUUUGGCAUUCAAAGAAAUCCUGUGAGAAAAUAAAUACCUAAAGUUUGGGAAUUGUGAUUCCAUGACUAUGACUUUUGUUGAAUUAUUUUAAAUACUUCUAGGGCUGUAAACCUCGAAAUUAUAUGUUACAUUCUGAUUUUGGCAUUCAGAGAUGACCUAUGAAAAAUACUUAUCUAAAGUUUAGGAUGAAGACAGGAAACAUCCUGGCUUUUUACUUAAUAAAUACAUUUUUAAUGGAGCAUGUGUGUCAAUGUCAAGGGGAAAUUUCCAGCUAGCUGUAACCCGACCACAUCAAUUCAACUCCUGCUUUGUCAGAAACAAAAUACUUUCCUUUUAAACCAAAAUUAAUUGUGCCAGUUGUCAAGAAACAAGGAUAUUUGUAUGCAUGGAUUUGCCAAGUCAGAUGGGAAUGAGGAGCCUGGAUGUGUAUAGAAUAACUAAAUUUUAAUUGAUCAUUAUUCAGGCAUUCUCUCCACCUCAGUAGCAAUAUCAGAAUAAGGAUGGAGUCAAACCAAUUGAGAUCAGCAUAUUUUAUACUGAAGGAAAAUAGCUUUUUUAUGACCCAUAGAAUUAAUCAGUGGGUUUUAUUGCCACAACUCUCCCAGAACAUAGUACAUUGAUUUUCCUCAAACCUAGAUUAAACAUUUCUUCAUGUGUAAAAUAAUGUUUGCAAUUCCAUUAUUUCUGCAGGAUAAGAAAUGAUCACAGUUACAACCUUUAUGGUUUAGGCCAUCAACCAAUCACUAAUUCAGUAAUUCCAGGAGUUAAGAGACAGUGAACUUAGUUUGGGGACACAUUACUCCAUAAUUAUGGGCAAUGCAGUUUCACAGACUUUUCUCUUUGUUGUCACAACAUAGAAUUAGGGGCCACACAGCACCAUUGUAAAUGUGUACACCUAGAGAGUUUGGGUUUUUUUCCUUUCUUUUUUUUCAUGGACAAUGUAGUGUAUAGAUUUUAUGGAUAUAUUACAAGUAUUUAUUAUAGGAAUAGCCAAUAGCAGAUCUUAUCUGAGUGCUGGAAUGUGUUGCUGAGGUGCUUUGUGGAGUCUGUCUCCUUAGAGAAAUUCAGAAACCAUCCAGAUGU
This is a long non-coding RNA of Serinus canaria (Common canary), 3673 nucleotides long. RefSeq lists it as uncharacterized. The record is from RefSeq and is a predicted model, not a curated record. NCBI's taxonomy places the organism in Eukaryota, Metazoa, Chordata, Aves, Passeriformes, Fringillidae. The transcript has 3 exons.